Molecule: non-coding RNA, 6119 nt
Organism: Delphinapterus leucas (beluga whale)
Lineage: Eukaryota; Metazoa; Chordata; Mammalia; Artiodactyla; Monodontidae
Source: RefSeq, a predicted model, not a curated record
UGCGCACAGCAACAAAAGACCCAAUGCAGCCAAAAAUAAAUAAAAAACAAAGAAUGUCAGUGUCCGGAAUUCCCUGACAAUUCUGCUCCUCAUUUGGCUCUCUGGGGCAGAGUGGCAUCCUGGCCUGGGAGGAUAGUAUGAGGCCUCCACCUCCAUGGAACAGGUUCCUUUGGAAGUGGUUAUGGCAGGUUGUCCGAAAGGUAAGUCCCUCACCUAGACUCAUUGCUUAAGAUGUACUGUAUUACUAAUUCUUUAAAAAUAAAUCAUUCUUGUAUUUUCUUCCCCUUUUCAGUGACCUUGUCCUAGAAUCCAAAGCUGAAUGAAACAGGUUCCUUUGGAAGUGGUUAUGGCAGGUUGUCCGAAAGGUAAGUCCCUCACCUAGACUCAUUGCUUAAGAUGUACUGUAUUACUAAUUCUUUAAAAAUAAAUCAUUCUUGUAUUUUCUUCCCCUUUUCAGUGACCUUGUCCUAGAAUCCAAAGCUGAAUGAAACAGGUUCCUUUGGAAGUGGUUAUGGCAGGUUGUCCGAAAGGUAAGUCCCUCACCUAGACUCAUUGCUUAAGAUGUACUGUAUUACUAAUUCUUUAAAAAUAAAUCAUUCUUGUGUUUUCUUCCCCUUUUCAGUGACCUUGUCCUAGAAUCCAAAGCUGAAUAUUUUUAUCCUCUGCUCCAAAGCUGAGUAGUGUAAUGCUAUUAAGUUUUUAUACACAUAUAUGCCUUUCAUAUAUAUAUACACACACAUGUAUAUAUAAUUUUUUUAAGGAUCACUCAUUCUCUAUAAGCUCUUUUGUAAUAAAGUUUUUUCCCACCUGACAGAAAAUGAAACUUUUCCUUGUUCUCGUAGUCUUCUAUCACUUCUUCCUCAUGUACUCUGAACAUCAUAAUAUAAAUUCAUAAAACGAGGCAGUCAGGUUAAGCUAGGGCAUUGCUGUAUACCAUAAAAUACUAUUUGCAUGGUUGUAUACUCACAAACUAUUCCGCCAGGUUUCCUGUGUUCAGAAGGAAAUUUGUGUUCCAGGAAGCUGUCACCCUGAUGAUAGCUACUGGCUCAAAUUAAGGAUCGUGUCCUUUGGCAGUCAGCCCUGUUCUGGCAGGAGUUCUCAAAUCCUUGAAGAAAUGGGUCUUUUCCAAGUUAGGCCCUCUGAUCUCCAACUCGUAAAGAAAUAAACUGGUCAGACCAAGUAUUUGAAGAGAAAGCCUGAGGAAGUUUUGCUGCUUGACACAGAUAGGGAGCUUUUUAUUUUUUUAAGUAAAUCAUCUGGCUCUUUUUGUUCUUUGAUACAGCAAGGGAGGUUUCUGUGAGGAAAUCAGUACUGAACAGUUUGUGCUUUAUGAGUGUCAGUAGAUUUUUUUUCCUUCCCACUCCCACUGCCACUAUCCCCAGAGAUUUCAACACCAUCCAUAUUCUGGUCUCAUUGUUUCUUAUCCACUUAAACUCUGAUGAUUUUCGGCCCCCUGUGAGAUGCCAACCUGGAUCUUUUAAACUACUUAAAAGUGCUCCACUUUGAGGAUAUCAGACUUUGGAGCUCUUCAUUUUGCCUACAACCUCCUUAACCUGCUCCACUCCUUCAUCCCGACCACCAGUUCCUAGAUCUGUUCUUAGGCCUAUUCCUUCCUCACCUAGAGGCCUCUCUUAUCCAUCUGCAUCUGGCUUUGCUUGCCUUGUUGCUCACCCCACUCCAUCCUCAAACCACUCAUUUCAUGGAUGACUUCAGUAAUACUUCAGAUUCUUUCAUUCAUUUCACCUCCUGUGGUACCCAUCUUAUCAAUUCUAAACCAAACUUCGGGUAGCCCCAUACCAUUCCACUUUCUCCUCUCCUAUACCAUAGUAUUGCUAGAAAAGUCACGAAAUUAUGCUACUGUACUUCACUCCCAUUUGAAGGUCCUUUGUUUCACCUUUCAGUGAAUUCCCUGUUAAUUCCCCGAAGGAGCUCUCCCAACUUUUGCCAUCUUAACUUGAAAAGAGCUCAUCUCCUGCAGCCUCCAUUUCCUUUUCUGUUCAGUGGGGAAGAGGGUGCCAGCGUACUUCUCCAACUCUAAUGGACAUGGGAUCUUGUUUAAAGUGCUGAUUCUGAUUCAGGUCUGGUGUGCCUGGUGACGCCAAGGCUGCAGACCAUAUUUUUGAGUAGUAGUUUGAGUCGUCUCAAAUGAGCUCCAAGGUUAUUUAAGAAUAAUAACAAUAGUACAACACUCAUGAUUCUAAGUCCUGAAUCGUAACCCGGCCACUCACUCUCAGCAGAUGACUUGAGCAGGAGCUAAAAGCCGUCUGUUAAGAGGCUCUUCAGCAAUGUUUGCCCUUCCUAGCAACUUUCUUUCCUCACCCUUUUCUCCCUCUUCUAGGUUACUUUUUCCACUGCCUCCAUACUAUCCUUUCUUGCUAACUUGAGAAGUUGUUUUCUCAGUUAAUCUCUUUCCAUGGGCUCAUUCCCCCAUCUAACUACAAUACCUUUUGGCUUCUAGCCUGACAAAACUGUGCUUCCCUAGGGAUAAUUUAACAGCCAAACUUCUCAGAGGAAGGAGCCAUCUCUACCCCUGCUUUCUUUCCAAUUCUACAUUUGCAGCUGAGCAUUUCUACUCAACCACGGUGAAAACAAUUCAUCUUCACCCCAACAGAGUGACCUCCUGCCUUACUUUAUGUUAUUUUUUCCUGCUCAUUUCCCCCUACUUACAUACCUAAUCAAUUAGCAAAUUGUGUUGAUUCCAUCUUCAAAAUAUCUGUCGUAGUCUAAUUAUUCAACUCUUAACUACCUUUCCAAAGGAAAUAAUCCCUUUUUAAAAAAUUUGUACAUGAAGAUAUUCUUCAUAAUAAUGUUAUUGAUAAUAAUAACAAAAUUGGAAAUAACAAAAUGUUCAAAACAAGGGAGGGAAGAAAUAAAUAUAAUUUUAAACGUUACAGUGAUUAAAAUGAUACUUUGUGUGUUGGCAUGGGUUAAAGGACAAAACAUCUACAAAAUGGUAUGUUUAAUAUGAUCCCAUGUUUUAAAUAGGAAGGAAGGAAGGAAAGAGACAUUUGGAGAAAAGUAUCUGAAAGAAAUAAUAUUUUGUUGAUUCCACAAUGUUAAUAGGCAUCUCUGCAUGCUGGGAUUGUGGUUGAUUUUUAGUUGUCUUCAUCUUCUGCACAGUCUGAAUUGUUACAUGUGUAAUAGGAUGUUAGAAUAGGACUCUUUCUGCCUCAGUUUGCACUGAGGCACAAAUAUGGUAGAUACCAAGAUUCCCAGGUGAGUGUGGGGCAGACAGUACAUAUGCAGAAUUUACAAAAAGAAUAAAGGAGAAUCUGCCUCACAACUCCCGGCCCCUUAACCAGGCCAAAGAUAUCAGAGAGUCAGAGGAAGGAAAAAGAUAAAGAUGUUUCCUUGUAGAGAGCUGUGGCCAGGCUCCUGGUUCCUUAGGUACCCUCUGACCCCAGCACCCCGGGAAAGAUGCCUCAGUAGGAAUACUUGGAGCUCCUCUUGCAGUCUGGGGAACCCAGGACUUCAGAGAAAGCUGAAGCCUCUGUGGAUGGGCCUGACUCUGCAAAAGCUGCAGGAUGACAGCAGGGCUGACAAGAGACAUUGGAAACGAGCCAGAGAGGGCUACUGCCUUGGACUUGCCUGGCACUGCAGGUUUCCUGAGGUCCAGAUGGGGGCCAGAUAGGUGGGAAGAGAGUUGCCUUAGGCUGUCUUGGGCUGGAGGGGAACUUCGGGAUGGCCAGGGGUUGAAGAAGGAGUGCAAGUGGCCACCUACAUAUAAAAACUGAUGGGCUCAGCAGAGAACCACUGAAGAGCCUUAGAAGAGUGGCCAAGCGGAGAAGCAUCAGCUUUAACCAUCUGUCAGGCUCACCAGAGACUCCAGCUAUAAACAUCUGCUUGGUCUAGAAAGCAUUGAGCCACCCACCCUUACCUGUCCUCCACUGCACAUCCUCCACCUUGUCUGGGGUGGAGCUGAGCCAGGAGUGAUUAGGGAGGACAAGUCAACCAUGCCCCCACCCCUUUCCACUGGAAGAUUUAGUGCGAAGCCGACCUAAGCUGACAGAAUACAAAUGAUGCAGUGCUGUUUGGAAUCUAUUGGUAUAGAACUGGAUAUUCUAAUUUCUGAAUCGAUACUGCAUUUGUUAAAGUAACCGUAGCACUGCAUAUUAUCUAAGAGGAAUGGAAAAGUAAGGGAGCAUACCCGAGUUUUCAUCUAGAGGCAGGAAAAAUGAAAGGAAGAGUGGGAGAACAAAAGUCAGAUUGUAGUUUUAUCACAGUCUGUUCAUCACGCUUGUUACCAGAACCCAGAUGCCCCCUUGCGCUCACUUCCAUCAUUUCUUGCCUCCACAAAGGUAACCACUGUCCAGUCUUCCAACAGUAUAGAUUCCUUUUGCCUGUUUUUGUGCUUUAUGUAAAUGGAAUCAGUCAGGCUGUGCUCUUUCGUGGCUGGCUUCUUUCAUUCAAUAUUGUGGGAGGUUCAUCUCUGUUGUCACAUGUAAUUGUAUCAUUCAUUUUCAUUAUUAUGUGAUGUUCUAUAGUGUGACUAUACCACAAUUUAUCCAUUCUACUGUUGAUGGGCAUUUGGAUAGCUUCUAGUUUUUGCCUAUUACAAAUAGUAAUUGCUAUGAAUAGUGUAUCACUUUUUAUAAUGGGCGGAGAGCUAUUAAAAAGUCUCUGGCAUCUUCUUUCCUUUCCGUUUCCGUAACUACCACCCCAGUUCAGGCCUUCACAAACAGUCACUGGUUCUAUUAGCAAUGGCCUCUUGAUUGAUAUCCCCAUCUACAGUUCAUCGUAAAUACUGCCACCAAGUUUAUCUUCUGAGAGCAUAAUUCUAAUCAUGCCAUUUCCCUUACUCAAAAACGUCAAAUGUCUCCCCACUGCCUUCCAACCAGAGCAGAAGUUCCUUUCCUUGGCAUUCAAGGCCUCCUCCCUGCAUUUGUACUCCAGAACAUUUUUGUGUCCUAGUCAAGCUAAGCCACUGCCAUGCCCUAAACACAGGCUCUUUUUCUCUUCCUCUGCUUCUCUGUUCUUGCCACCCCGAGUCCAUGUUGCAUCAUGGUGCCACUCACACUGUUCCUAACAGCGAACACACCUGUCAGAGUGCUUCUCCUCCCAGGUUGAGCUCGGAUAUAUUUCUUUCAGCAGGCGGCUUGCAUUCCCUUUGGCCAAGGUCAUGUCCCAUCUGCAGCGCUUUGUUGGACCCUACCUUACACAUCAUGUGCGGCCUCGUGUUAGUAUUGCUCUCAUUUGGGUUUCAUUUUUCUUCCCCACUGACAUUUCUUCUCCGUCUGGUUCAUCUAUAUGUCUCCAGAGCAGCCAGCCCAGCUGGCUUACCCCUAGAAGAGGCUCAAUAAACGUUUGUUGAAUUAUUUUGGAGAAGUUGUUUGAAAAUGUCUUCCUGAUUUUUACCUCUGAUUCCCACUUCUCCUUUGAGUGAAUUCCCCUCUUGCUCCUUGGUAUUUUGUGUGUGUGCCGGCUCAGGAACAUACUCUUUGGUGCCUGAUGCUUCAACUGACCCCCAAGAAAUAAUGAUAACUUCUCAAUGCCACCCUCUUUAAUUAUACCAUUUAAGCCCCUCCCCGCGUCUUAAAUGAAUUAACUAUUUAUUUCUUAGGCAUCUAUUUUGUACAUGGACCAUGAAAACUGGAAUAAAAUUUGCUCUGCACCUGCAAGACAUCAUUGCAGAGUUUUUAAUAUUGAAAAUGUUUUAGUCUGUUGUCUAUGGUUGAUUUUUGAAACUUGCCUUUGUUUCACCACGAUGGAUGAAUUGCACACUGGAUCAGACACCUCAUUCAUUUGCUCUCUCCCCCAGUUGUCUCAAGAGAACUUGGCUCCUCUGAGCACCAGAGAUGACUUAAUUUUGCGGUAAGAAAAUAGGAAUUAGAGGAAGCCAAUUAGGAAACCUCAAGGAAGAGGAAGUGUCUCCAGGCUGAAAGGAAGGCUGUUGAGUCUUAUUUCCUCUCUGUUCUUGACUCAUCCUCUCGGUGCCUGACCAACUUCUGCACCACCCUUUCCCCACCCGAUCAGGGGGCUGAAAUGGGUGUGGGGUGAGAUUGGGGGUAGUGAGCAGAGUGAAUAAAGUCAAAUAACAUUCAUAAAGACACCAAGAUGUAGGGAUACACCAUGGGUGUGAAAAUCUCAGUGAACUUUUUUUUUUCUUUUUUUGCGGUAUG